GCUGGACUUUUUCCUUCGGAAUUUCAAAGCGUUAUGGGCUGCUUGGCCUUUUAUCCGGAUCGUCUUUGCUCUAAAUAUAAACCAUAUUUUGAACUCUCAAGAUGGUUUAUGCUUUGCGAAAAAUUUAAAGAGAAUGUUUAUAACUUAUACAACUUUGCCUCGUGCUCCUUACUCACUAUAUCGCUCCAGUCAGGGCUCUCCUUUUUAAAAACAGAAGAUUGCAAUCGCCCUGAAAAAUAUAAUCCGAACUGUCCUGUUUGUAAUCCAGUAAUGAAGGAGCUCGCACAUG
This is a long non-coding RNA of Zophobas morio, 289 nucleotides long. RefSeq lists it as uncharacterized. The transcript has 3 exons. The record is from RefSeq and is a predicted model, not a curated record. Lineage: Eukaryota; Metazoa; Arthropoda; Insecta; Coleoptera; Tenebrionidae.